GGGUUGUGAGGUUAAGCGAAUAAGCGUACACGGUGGAUGCCUAGGCAAUCAGAGGCGAUGAAGGACGUGCUAAUCUGCGAAAAGCGUCGGUAAGGUGAUAUGAACCGUUAUACCCGACGAUAUCCGAAUGGGGAAACCCAGUAUCCAAUGGAUACUAUCAUUAACUGAAUCCAUAGGUUAAUGAGGCGAACCGGGAGAACUGAAACAUCUCAGUACCCCGAGGAAAAGAAAUCAACCGAGAUUCCCCUAGUAGCGGCGAGCGAACGGGGAGCAGCCCAGAGUCUUAAUCAAUAGCAGUGUCAGGAGAACGGUCUGGAAAGUCCGGCAGUAAAGGGUGAUAGCCCCGUAUCUGAAGAUGCUGUUAUUGUGAACUCGACGAGUAGGGCGGGACACGUGUUAUCCUGUCUGAAUAUGGGGGGACCAUCCUCCAAGGCUAAAUACUCCUGAUUGACCGAUAGUGAACCAGUACCGUGAGGGAAAGGCGAAAAGAACCCCGGCGAGGGGAGUGAAAAAGAACCUGAAACCGUGUACGUACAAGCAGUAGGAGCCUCUUUAUGGGGUGACUGCGUACCUUUUGUAUAAUGGGUCAGCGACUUAUAUUCUGUAGCAAGGUUAACCGUAUAGGGGAGCCGUAGGGAAACCGAGUCUUAACUGGGCGAAUGAGUUGCAGGGUAUAGACCCGAAACCCGGUGAUCUAUCCAUGGGCAGGUUGAAGGUUGGGUAACACUAACUGGAGGACCGAACCGACUAAUGUUGAAAAAUUAGCGGAUGACUUGUGGAUGGGGGUGAAAGGCCAAUCAAACCGGGAGAUAGCUGGUUCUCCCCGAAAGCUAUUUAGGUAGCGCCUCGUGAACUCAUCUUCGGGGGUAGAGCACUGUUUCGACUAGGGGGUCAUCCCGACUUACCAACUCGAUGCAAACUGCGAAUACCGAAGAAUGUUAUCACGGGAGACACACGGCGGGUGCUAACGUCCGUCGUGAAGAGGGAAACAACCCAGACCGCCAGCUAAGGUCCCAAAGUCAUGGUUAAGUGGGAAACGAAGUGGGAAGGCUCAGACAGCCAGGAUGUUGGCUUAGAAGCAGCCAUCAUUUAAAGAAAGCGUAAUAGCUCACUGGUCGAGUCGGCCCGCGCGGAAGAUGUAACGGGGCUAAACCAUGCACCGAAGCUGCGGCAGCGACACAAAGUGUUGUUGGGUAGGGGAGCGUUCUGUAAGCCUGCGAAGGUGUACUGUGAGGUAUGCUGGAGGUAUCAGAAGUGCGAAUGCUGACAUAAGUAACGAUAAUGCGGGUGAAAAACCCGCACGCCGGAAGACCAAGGGUUCCUGUCCAACGUUAAUCGGGGCAGGGUGAGUCGACCCCUAAGGCGAGGCUGAAAAGCGUAGUCGAUGGGAAACGGGUUAAUAUUCCCGUACUGGUGGUAACUGCGAUGGGGGAACGGAGAAGGCUAGGUUGUCCGGGCGACGGUCGUCCCGGUUCAAGCAGGUAGGCAGAGUGAUUAGGCAAAUCCGGUCACUUAAUGCUGAGAUGUGAUGACGAACCACCAAGGUGGUGAAGCAAUUGAUGCCCCGCUUCCAGGAAAAGCCUCUAAGCUUCAGGUUACCAACAAUCGUACCCCAAACCGACACAGGUGGUCAGGUAGAGAAUACUCAGGCGCUUGAGAGAACUCGGGUGAAGGAACUAGGCAAAAUGGUGCCGUAACUUCGGGAGAAGGCACGCUGGCGGUAGGUAAAGUCCCUUGCGGACGGCGCUGAAGCCAGUCGAAGAUACCAGCUGGCUGCAACUGUUUAUUAAAAACACAGCACUGUGCAAACACGAAAGUGGACGUAUACGGUGUGACGCCUGCCCGGUGCUGGAAGGUUAAUUGAUGGGGUUAGCCGCAAGGCGAAGCUCCUGAUCGAAGCCCCAGUAAACGGCGGCCGUAACUAUAACGGUCCUAAGGUAGCGAAAUUCCUUGUCGGGUAAGUUCCGACCUGCACGAAUGGCGUAAUGAUGGCCAGGCUGUCUCCACCCGAGACUCAGUGAAAUUGAACUCGCUGUGAAGAUGCAGUGUACCCGCGGCAAGACGGAAAGACCCCGUGAACCUUUACUAUAGCUUGACACUGAACAUUGAGCCUUGAUGUGUAGGAUAGGUGGGAGGCUUUGAAGUGUGGACGCCAGUCUGCAUGGAGCCAACCUUGAAAUACCACCCUUUAACGUUUGAUGUUCUAACCUAGGCCCAUAAACUGGGUCGGGGACCGUGUCUGGUGGGUAGUUUGACUGGGGCGGUCUCCUCCUAAAGAGUAACGGAGGAGCACGAAGGUUGGCUAAGCAUGGUCGGACAUCAUGCGGUUAGUGCAAAGGCAUAAGCCAGCUUGACUGCGAGAGUGACGGCUCGAGCAGGUACGAAAGUAGGUCUUAGUGAUCCGGUGGUUCUGAAUGGAAGGGCCAUCGCUCAACGGAUAAAAGGUACUCCGGGGAUAACAGGCUGAUACCGCCCAAGAGUUCAUAUCGACGGCGGUGUUUGGCACCUCGAUGUCGGCUCAUCACAUCCUGGGGCUGAAGUAGGUCCCAAGGGUAUGGCUGUUCGCCAUUUAAAGUGGUACGCGAGCUGGGUUUAGAACGUCGUGAGACAGUUCGGUCCCUAUCUGCCGUGGGCGUUGGAAGAUUGAGAGGGGUUGCUCCUAGUACGAGAGGACCGGAGUGAACGCACCACUGGUGUUCGGAUUGUCAUGCCAAUGGCAUUGCCCGGUAGCUAAGUGCGGAAGAGAUAACCGCUGAAAGCAUCUAAGCGGGAAACUUGCCUCGAGAUGAGUCUUCCCUGUCGCUUUAAGCGACCUAAAGGAACGUUUAAGACUAAGACGUUGAUAGGCUGGGUGUGUAAGCGUAGCGAUACGUUGAGCUAACCAGUACUAAUGAACCGUGAGGCUUAACCUGACAACACCGAAAGUGUUUUG
This 2932-nucleotide ribosomal RNA is filed under the name Proteus mirabilis. Its description in RNAcentral is "bacterial LSU rRNA". It matches the Rfam family "Bacterial large subunit ribosomal RNA". The record is from RNAcentral. Lineage: Bacteria; Pseudomonadati; Pseudomonadota; Gammaproteobacteria; Enterobacterales; Morganellaceae.